CAAAACUUACGAGUGUCGUUUACAGUAGAAUGUUUUACAAGCUGUUUUACCUCAACUCUUCUUAAUUAGUCGUAAAAGCUUUGCAAGACUCUUCAGGUAAUCCUUGAAUAAUACUUAACCUCAACGAGGAAAGUUUGACACAAAAAGUUCAAAACUGUUAAACAGGUUCAGUUAAAUCAAACAAGAUAAAAUAGCUCAAAGAGUCUUUUAAAUCGUUUGAUUAUUCUGAUCUUUACCAGCUUUUUCAUCCAAAGAGGUUUUGGAAAUGUCCAUCGAAUGGCCUCCUCCAUUAACAAGCUGUCCUGAAGCAUUGAGAUUAUGUAAGGCAGAGAAGAGAGGAAGAGAAAGUACCUGAAUUUCUGAUAGAUUCUUAUCUUCUAAGGUUGC
RNAcentral lists this long non-coding RNA (387 nucleotides) under Eutrema salsugineum. Its description in RNAcentral is "long non-coding RNA (ESAL_LNC000440)". Lineage: Eukaryota; Viridiplantae; Streptophyta; Magnoliopsida; Brassicales; Brassicaceae. The record is from RNAcentral.